Long non-coding RNA from Salvia splendens (bonfire salvia), 457 nucleotides. RefSeq lists it as uncharacterized. Lineage: Eukaryota; Viridiplantae; Streptophyta; Magnoliopsida; Lamiales; Lamiaceae. The record is from RefSeq and is a predicted model, not a curated record. The transcript has 3 exons.
CCGUGGAACAGCUCAGCCGCGCAGUCGAUGUUUUGAAGAAAAAAAAUGAGCUCUUUGCAAACCAUCCAUCAAGAGUUUGAUACGCUACAGAAAAACCAGAUGGAAGCUGUGGAGAUGAAGAAAAAAUGCUCUAUUGCCAAUGGAACUGUUAAUACAUGCUAAUCCUCAAUACAUAUUAAUGACAAACUCAUAGUUUAGGAUGUUUAGGUCUAAAACGAGCUUAAACGGAGUUGAAUGGGACAAUACAGAUCCCGCCCGGGCGUUCUAGCUGGAAUUGCACAUCAAGAUACAGAGAGUUUGCCCGAUCGGGCGUUUUCCAUCCGAAGAAACGCCCACCCGGGCGUUUUGAAGUGAAAUGCGGGUUCCAGACAAAACGCCCGGUCGAGCGUUUUGACACUUGCCCGAUCGGGCAAAUUUGACAGCUUCCUUAUUUUGCCCAUUUUUCACCCCAAAUAUA